Peromyscus eremicus (cactus mouse) is the source of this 861-nucleotide long non-coding RNA. RefSeq lists it as uncharacterized. Lineage: Eukaryota; Metazoa; Chordata; Mammalia; Rodentia; Cricetidae. The transcript has 3 exons. The record is from RefSeq and is a predicted model, not a curated record.
CUUGGCAAGGGCACACUCAGCUAUGACAAGCUGUUAGGACAACACUCGGUAUUAACUAAAUGGCAGGAAGCAGCCAGGAGGGAAAAUUCAAGAGAGACAGUGAAAGGAGAAUAGAAGAGACUCCAUCCUCCACCAAAGGAGCAACAAGAUGCUAGCAGACAGUUUAGGAAACAAGCUGGAAAGGAGGUGAAAAGAAUGUAAGAGACAGAGGACCACGACAUCAUCUGUGAAAUACAGUCUUCUGUAUAUGACAAGGAAGCUGCACCAAUUAAACUUCAAAAAAUAUGCCUACCUAAACUAAAUUUGCACAGUGACAAAAUGUGGUGGCUUCUAAUACGAAAGGGGGAAGCUCAAAAGGCACCAUCCCGAGAUGAAAAGCUACAAGCAAUUAAUGGCUGCUCAGAGAGAAAAAAUUUAUCUUCUCAAGGGGUGAGUUCUUCGAUAGGUUACAGAGUCUCACAUGGUUAGCCUCAAAUACAGAUAUAUGGGAGCAAUAAAAAAUGAACUCAGCAAGAAUAUGUAAUGUGCAUACAUGUGUGUGCAUAACUAUUAUAAUUAAAGAAAGGUAAAAAAAUAUGAACAUGAGUCUGGGGAAGGAUACAGGCGAAUUUGGAGGGGGAGCGGCAGAGAUAGAUAUGUUGUAUGAAAUUCUCAGAAAAUAUUGGCCUAUAUUCUUGCAGAGGAUUGAAGUUCAUUUCAGAAGUUCAUUUCCCAGCAUACAUAUCAGGGAGCCCACAACUGUAAUAAGCCUGUAACUCUAGCUCCAGGGUAUGUGAUGCCUUCUUCUGGCCUCUAUGAACAACCAUAUGCACAUGUGCACACUGACAAGUAUGCAUUCACAUGUGUUAACACACACAUAUA